Molecule: unclassified non-coding RNA, 172 nt
Filed under: uncultured bacterium
Lineage: Bacteria
Description: contains 16S-23S intergenic spacer region
Rfam family: Bacterial small subunit ribosomal RNA
Source: RNAcentral
CCUACGGGAGGCAGCAGCUAGGAAUUUUCCGCAAUGGACGAAAGUCUGACGGAGCAACGCCGCGUGAAGGAUGAAGGUCUUUAGAGAUUGUAAACUUCUUUUAUAUGGGACGAGAAAGGACGGUACCAUAUGAAUAAGUCCCGGCUAACUACGUGCCAGCAGCCGCGGUAAU